GGCGUACAUCCAGUGGAUUCCAUUUCACUAUAUAUCUUGGGGACCUGAUCAAAUUUCUUAGCCCUCAAAAAAGCCUUCAUUAAAGUGCUAUAAGUAAUCACAUCAGGAGUAAUACCCAUCUCCUUUAUAUGCUGGUAAAUUGAUUGUGCCUCCAUAUGCCUACCAGCAUUCCCAAAAGCAUUUAUCAACAUAUUUAGCAUUAUAAGGUUUGGUUCCAUCCCUUCGGCUUCCAUUAUCUGUAGAACCUUCACAGUCUGCUCACAUAAUCCCUGCUGAGCAUAGGCAUGGGCCAGGACACAAAAGAUGCUAGGUGAAAGCUGAAGGCCUUCCAAUUUCAGGGCAUUUAAAC
This 349-nucleotide unclassified non-coding RNA is filed under the name Hevea brasiliensis (rubber tree). The record is from RNAcentral. Lineage: Eukaryota; Viridiplantae; Streptophyta; Magnoliopsida; Malpighiales; Euphorbiaceae.